Leptonychotes weddellii (Weddell seal) is the source of this 104-nucleotide small nuclear RNA. NCBI's taxonomy places the organism in Eukaryota, Metazoa, Chordata, Mammalia, Carnivora, Phocidae. The record is from RefSeq and is a predicted model, not a curated record.
GUACUCGCGUCAGCAGCACAUAUACUGAAGUUGGAACGAUAAAGAGAUCAGCGUGGCUCCUGCACAAGGAUGACAUGCAAAUCUGUGAAGCAUUCCUUAUUUUA